Molecule: ribosomal RNA, 466 nt
Filed under: uncultured bacterium
Lineage: Bacteria
Description: partial 16S ribosomal RNA
Rfam family: Bacterial small subunit ribosomal RNA
Source: RNAcentral
GACGAACGCUGGCGGCGUGCUUAACACAUGCAAGUCGAACGGAAAGGCCCAGCUUGCUGGGUACUCGAAUGGCGAACGGGUGAGUAACACGUGGGUGAUCUGCCCUGGACUCUGGGAUAAGCCUGGGAAACUGGGUCUAAUACCGGAUAUGACCUUACAUCGCAUGGUGUUUGGUGGAAAGCUUUUGCGGUUCAGGAUGGGCCCGCGGCCUAUCAGCUUGUUGGUGGGGUAAUGGCCUACCAAGGCGACGACGGGUAGCCGACCUGAGAGGGUGAUCGGCCACACUGGGACUGAGACACGGCCCAGACUCCUACGGGAGGCAGCAGUGGGGAAUAUUGCACAAUGGGCGCAAGCCUGAUGCAGCGACGCCGCGUGAGGGAUGACGGCCUUCGGGUUGUAAACCUCUUUCACCAGGGACGAAGCGUGAGUGACGGUACCUGGAGAAGAAGCACCGGCCAACUACGUG